GCCCGCUCAGAAACUACAAAGGAAAGUUGACGGGGCCCGCGACAAGCGGUGGAGUAUGUGGUUUAAUUCGAUGCAACGCGAAGAACCUUACCUGGUCUUGACAUCCCGGAGACCCUUAGGAACUAGGGGUGCUUCCAUCUGGAAGAAUCUGGAGACAGGUGCUGCAUGGCUGUCGUCAGCUCGUGUCGUGAGAUGUUGGGUUAAGUCCCGCAACGAGCGCAACCCUUGCCUUUAGUUGCCAGCAGUUCGGCUGGGCACUCUAAAGGGACUGCCGGUGUUAAACCGGAGGAAGGUGGGGAUGACGUCAAGUCCUCAUGGCCUUUAUGACCAGGGCUACACACGUACUACAAUGGCCGAUACAAAGGGCAGCGACACUGCGAGGUGAAGCCAAUCCCGUAAAAUCGGUCUCAGUCCGGAUUGGAGUCUGCAACUCGACUCCAUGAAGUUGGAAUCGCUAGUAAUCGUGGAUCAGCAUGCCACGGUGAAUACGUUCCCGGGCCUU
Molecule: ribosomal RNA, 502 nt
Filed under: uncultured Desulfobulbus sp.
Lineage: Bacteria; Pseudomonadati; Thermodesulfobacteriota; Desulfobulbia; Desulfobulbales; Desulfobulbaceae
Description: bacterial SSU rRNA
Rfam family: Bacterial small subunit ribosomal RNA
Source: RNAcentral